GUAACAAGGUUUCCGUAGGUGAACCUGCGGAAGGAUCAUUGUCGAAGCCUGCCCCAGCAGAACGACCCGCGAACGAGUCCGUCGACCCACGCCGGGGCGGCGGGGGGCACCCGCCCCUCGGCCCCCGGCGAGCCGCGGGGAGCGGGCCGCGAGGCCCCUCUCCCCGGCCGGCUCACGAAACAAACCCCCGGCGCCGGGCGCGCCAAGGACCAUGAAAAAAGAGGGAGCACGCACCGUCGGCCCGGGAACGGGGCGCGGGGCGCGCCUUCUCUCGCCACGAGCAACAAA
Molecule: ribosomal RNA, 288 nt
Filed under: Casearia obliqua
Lineage: Eukaryota; Viridiplantae; Streptophyta; Magnoliopsida; Malpighiales; Salicaceae
Rfam family: Eukaryotic small subunit ribosomal RNA (bases 1-41)
Source: RNAcentral